RNAcentral lists this ribosomal RNA (255 nucleotides) under uncultured bacterium. RNAcentral describes it as "partial 16S ribosomal RNA". It matches the Rfam family "Bacterial small subunit ribosomal RNA", at positions 524 to 776 of the family's 1533-position model. The record is from RNAcentral.
UACGUAGGGUGCGAGCGUUGUCCGGAAUUACUGGGCGUAAAGAGCUCGUAGGUGGUUUGUCGCGUUGUUCGUGAAAUCUCACGGCUUAACUGUGAGCGUGCGGGCGAUACGGGCAGACUAGAGUACUGCAGGGGGAGACUGGAAUUCCUGGUGUAGCGGUGGAAUGCGCAGAUAUCAGGAGGAACACCGGUGGCGAGGGCGGGUCUCUGGGCAGUAACUGACGCUGAGGAGCGAAAGCGUGGGGGAGCGAACAGG